Molecule: unclassified non-coding RNA, 5638 nt
Filed under: Octopus sinensis (East Asian common octopus)
Lineage: Eukaryota; Metazoa; Mollusca; Cephalopoda; Octopoda; Octopodidae
Description: puromycin-sensitive aminopeptidase, transcript variant X1
Source: RNAcentral
CACCCGGGGAUAUACCCCCCCAUUUAUACCGCAUAUUCUCAUUCAUUGCUUGUCUUACAUGUUAUAUAGUCUGCUUUUUUUUUUACACUCUCUCAUUCAAUAACAACAAUCAGUCGACUCCGGCUUGUUGUCACCAUUGCUACUACUACUAUCAUUAUUAUAUAGUUUUCUGAACAAGGCUGCUGCCACUUCAUUCACACCCGGUCUAUAUUCACCAUUGCUGCCACCUGCAUCAACGCCGCCGCCGUCGCUGCUGCCGCCACCAUUGUCAUCCACCACACCAGCAAACAUCAUCGUUAAUUGAAAAAGACCCUGAGACAUGGCUGAGAGACGUCCGUUCGAACACCUACCUUCAACUGUUAUACCCGUCAACUAUGCCCUGCUUUUCAAACCAGAUUUGGAAACAUUCAAGUUCACCGGAUCCGGUGAUAUUGAUGUCCAAAUCAAAGAACCUGUUGAAUCAUUCAAGUUAAAUGCUGCUGAACUUACUGUUUCUAAAGCUUCUUUCAAGUAUGAAGGUGGAGAACCAGUUGACUUGAAAAUUUCCUUUGUUAAGGAAAAUGAAAAUGUCAUAUUCUCUUCUUCCAGUACUUUCAAGGCUGGAUUCGGUGUGCUCCACAUUGAAUUUGCAGGGGAACUCAAUGAUCGAAUGCGAGGUUUUUACCACAGCCAGUACACGGUUUCCAGUGGCAAAGUUGUUCAUUUGGCAGUCACUCAGUUUGAGUCGACAGAUGCCCGUCGUGCAUUCCCUUGCUGGGAUGAACCAUCAUUCAAAGCUACUUUUGACAUCACUUUAGUCUUUCCUAAUCAUUUAACAGGCUUAUCAAAUAUGCCAGUUACUGAAGAGAAAACUCACUCAACUGAUCCCAAGUUGAAGGUGAUGAAGUUUGAAAGGAGUCCUAAAAUGUCAACAUAUUUGUUGGCAUUUAUAAUUGGUGAAUUUGACUACCUGGAAGGUAGAGAUUCAGAUAACGUCCUUGUUCGCGUUUAUACACCAUUGGAGAAGAGGGAUCAAGGACAGUUUGCUCUUGAUGUAACUGUGAAAACACUGCCAUUUUACAAGAGCUACUUCAAUAUUGCCUAUCCACUGCCAAAAAUUGACCUUAUUGCAAUUCCUGAUUUUCUGAGUGGUGCCAUGGAAAACUGGGGUUUGGUGACAUACAGAGAAAAUACUUUGCUCAUUGAUGCAGAAGACUCCUCUGCGAAAUCACGACAGCUUGUUGCACUUGUAAUCGGUCAUGAACUUGCACACAUGUGGUUUGGAAACCUUGUCACUAUGGAAUGGUGGACUCACUUGUGGUUGAACGAAGGUUUUGCCUCUUGGAUUGAAUACCUCUGUGUCGAUAAACUGUUUCCAGAUUUUGAAAUCUGGACCCAGUUUGUCACGUCUGAUCUUGCAGCAGCCCUCAAGCUUGAUGCCUUACACACAAGUCAUCCCAUUGAGGUUCCAGUUGGUCACCCAGCAGAAGUAGAUGAAAUCUUUGAUGCCAUUUCCUAUUGUAAAGGAGCAUCAGUCAUCAGAAUGUUACACAACUACAUUGAAGAUACUGAUUUCAAAAAAGGCAUGAAUUCUUAUCUAACAAAAUUCAUGUACAAGAAUGCUGCAACUGAAGAUCUCUGGGAUGCAUUAGAAAGUGCUAGUGGCAAACCAAUCAAGAGAGUUAUGAGCACUUGGACAUCUCAGAUGGGUUAUCCUGUUGUCAAAGUCAGUGAAACAAAGGAAGAUAAUCGUCGUGUUCUACAUCUGACCCAAAUGAAAUUCUGUGCUGAUGGUAAAACGGGAGAUAAAACUUCAAGAUGGAUGAUUCCUAUUGAUAUUUCAACCUCAUCAAGUAUUCACAAACCAGUCAAGAAAGUUCUGAUGGAAGGUGAAAAGAUGGAAGUGAUUCUUGACAAUGUCAAAACUGAUGAAUGGGUGUUGUUAAACUGUAACUCAGUUGGUGUGUAUCGAGUGCAAUACAGCAGUGACAUGUUACAAUCUCUAUUGAAGGGAAUUGUCAACAAAACCAUUCUCCCUACCAAUAGACUGGCAUUACAGAGUGAUAUGUUUGCUUUGGCUCGUGCUGGUAUGGUGUCAACCGUUGAAGUGCUGAAAUUUGUCCAAUCAUACAAAAACGAAGACAACUACACAGUUUGGAAUGACUUGGCACAGAACCUAACAAAUAUUGCUCUCCUGCUCCAGUACACCAAGUACUAUGACCAGUACAAAGUGUUUGUUCGUAACUUGUUCAGGAAGAUAGCUGCAAAGGUUGGCUGGGAAGCUACAAAAGAAGAGAAUCACUUAACAACAUUAUUAAGGGACUUGGUGCUCUGCCGUAUGGGUCGUUAUGGUGAUGCAGCUGUCUUGGAAGAAUCCCGUAAAAGGUUCCAGGAUCAUGUGUCUGGGGAGAAGAUCCUUCCUGCUGAUCUGAAAUCUCCUGUUUACCUGACAGUUGUCUGUCAUGGAGAUGAAGAAGUAUUGACAUCUAUGUUGGAGUUGUACGAGAAAGCCCAGAUGCAGGAAGAAAUGGUUCGAAUCAGCCGAACAAUUGGUGCAGUUAGUGAGAGUAAGCUUAUCACUCGAGUCCUGGAAUUUGCCAUUUCUGAUAGAGUUCGUAGCCAAGACACAGUUUUUGUGAUUGCUGGUGUAACAGGCACUGUGUUAGGGAGAGAAAUGGCAUGGCAAUUUGUGAGAGAUCACUGGCAGUUUUUCUGCGAGAGAUACCAAGGUGGGGCACUGAUUGCCAGACUCGUUAAGUUCACUACUGAGAAUUUUGCAUCUGAAAAUCGAGCAAAUGAAGUUGAGGAAUUCUUUGCAGCCCACCCAGCUGCUUCUGCAACCCGUAACAUUCAGCAGUCCUGUGAAAAUAUCAGACUGAAUGCCUGGUGGUUAGCUAAUGAGUCAGAUGAAGUUGGUAAAUUUUUAGAUGACAUCAAGGAAGAUUAAGGACAACACACACACACACACAUACAUACAUAAUAUACACACGUAUAUAUACAGUUUUCCUUCUUGUUUAUUUUGUUUUUACCUUUUCUUUUUCCUGUUUCUAUUUUUUUACCUUCUGUAACGGGAGAGAAAGUGUAUUCACUUCAAGCAGUCAUUCAAAUACAUUAGUCCAUAACAUUUCCAGUUCCCUACAAUCUGAUUUUCUCAUCUUUCAGAUGAUGAAAUUUGUCUUCUUUUUUCUCUCUCUCUCUUCACUACAGUUGAAAAUUUAUGCAUGGAAAACAAUAGACAAGAUAGUUUUUUAAUAUCUAAUAAUGCAUGUGACAUUAAAAUGAAAAAUUAACUAGGAUUCGAUAUGUUGCAAUAGAAUAUAUUAGUCAUUAACUAUUUCCUUUCGAAUAAUUUCAAUAUUUUAAUCUUGAAAAUAUUCCAUUUUCUUCUACCAACAAAUAUAAUCUUUUAUGUAUAUUUACUGAGGGAAUCUUACAUAACAUCUUCAGCUGGCUGUGCUUUACUGAUGAGAUCAGAAUAAGACCAGAACCUAUCCCCAUAUACUUAUUAUUUAGUAUAUAUUGUUCAAUGAAAUAAACUGUCAAUGCACAGUCAGCUUUUUACUUUUGCUUUCCCCAUCCUUUUGGCCCUUAUUUACUCUAACCUCCCAGUUAGACAGCAGAUACAGGCUUCAGAUAUUUUGGGUCAUUAAGUCAGGCUAAUGUUACUGAGCAUCAAUCCAAUGAUUUCUUUUUUUUUUUUUCUUCCAGCUAAAUUGGAUUGUCUUCAAAGUGACUUCCCAAAUAUCUGCUACAUCUCAGCACCAUCAAAUAUCCACACAUUUUUCACAACUUCUAACUCUUCUUGGUGCUACACCGUUUCCCUACAAUUUGCUUCAAACGGUCACCUCAUCCACCAUUUAUUUUUCUCUCAUGUACAACUAACCUGAAAUCGUGCUUUGUGGUUGUGGAAGUUGGCCGUCCUGACCGGGGUUCAUCUGUGACCUCGAAAUGACCAGUCCAAAACCUCAACACCCAUAUUUUCACCAUGGAGUAAGAUGGGCAGCACUCCUUCAAGACUUCCUUCCUCUUGCCAUGGAUUUCUGCUGCUCCUUUUCCUUGCAAAAAGGGGAACUUCAUGACGCCCCCUACUUGAAUCUUAUCAAAAUCCAUUGUAGGAGCUGCCAUCAUGCGUUAAACCUGCAAAAAAGAGAAAGACACAUUGUAUACCAUCAUGGUAUUUUUUUGCAUAUCUUCUCCUAAAUAGUUGUCCUACCAUCCUUGUAAAGGUAACAGCUCUACCCCUUUUGCAAUACCCUUAAAAUUCCUUGCAGUGUUUGCUUUUGUCCUUUUUACAUUCUAAAGUCAGAUUUUGCCGAGGUAGACUUGUGUCUUUCAUUUUCACAGACUGAGUGUGAUCGACUCAGGUGUUGUGUCUGCAUUUGAGAUAAUUAUUCCCAUUAUCUGGAAAACAAUGAAAUUGAUAGCACCUGGAAGUAUUAAGUUUCGUUCCUCUGCAAAUGACUCUGAAUUUCACCUUCCAUCUUUAUAGGGUCAAUAAAUGGAUUCCAUUUAAGUUCAAUGUCCUAUGAAGAAUCCUCUCAGAGAGGGGCAAGCUGACAAUAUUGUCCAAGUAAUAGAGAAAAUUAUUUGUUUGUUCCCAUUCUUUACAUUUGCAGUUCAAAUCCUGCUGAGGUCUACUUUACCUUCCAUCCACUCCAAGGUUGAUAAAAUAUAAUACCAGUCAACGACUAACUUCACUCUCCCUUCAGAAUUGCUGGCCUUAUGAUGCUGAAAUCCUUAAAUCAUCAUCAUUAUUAUCAUUAGCAUUGCUGCAUCGUAAAUUACAUCCUUUACGCCUUUCUAUUCAGGGAAAUAACCAGGGUUUUUAAGUUUAGAUUAUCAGGUAGGAUCAGUCUUAACUCGCUUGCGGUGGAGAAGUAAAAUGCAUGAAGAUGAUUGCAAAUAUAUACACAUUAAAAUGUGUUGAAAAUAGAAAUACAAAAUAGUUUGCCAACUUACUUCAGCAAUUAAUUCACCUUUAACCUUUCUCAAUACAAUCACCUGUAAUCUCACCUUUUUCAAUCAAAUCACUUGUAACAUCUCUCUUUAGCAAUAAAAUCACCUGUAAUGCCUCUCUCUCUCUCUCUCUCUCUAGCAAUAAAUUCUCUUGUAACCUCUUUCUCUCUCUCUCUAAAAAAAUGUUCUCUUGUUUGACUGGCUUGUAAUGUUGCCUUAUCUUUUAACAAUAAACCCGUCACUACUAAAGAUUUUUAUUUUUGUUCUUGUUUUAUAAAGGACUUUAUCUUGCUUAUGAUGAUGAUUAUUAUUAUUAUUAUUAUUAUUAUUCUUUGAAAAUCACCUGGGAUGUGGUUGUGCUGUAGACAGUUCAGAGCUUUGUUUGUAUUUAAAACUCACAGGUAUAAAUGUGCAAACUUAACUCUGUUUCCACCUUCAGUGCUUGAGAUAGAUUAUGGGGCAGCAGUAAAAUACAAAUUAUUAUCGUUUUUAUUAUUAUUAUAUUAUUACCCAGCUGCACACAACAAUAAUACUUUUCUUUAUAAAAAAUUUAAUCUUCUGCCUGUUCAAAUAAAAAAUCAUUAUUUUUUUAUGAUUUAUCAAAUAUAUAUAUAUAUUUUUUUUUAAUUUGAAGUUUUGAAAUUAAAGAAAGAAAUGAAAUUUGAUAAUAAAACAGGGAUAUCAAGAUGUAUUUAGGAUAGAA